AGGGAGCCAGCCAGCCAGUCCCCAGGCCCCAGGGCCAGCACACAUUUGCGGGGCCGCUUUAAAUGGCAGAGUCAAUGUCAAAUCCACAGAGAAGUCAUAACGUGGGACCAGAAUGAAAAACGGGGGUUAAAAAUUCAGAGCCAUGCCUUGAGUUCAUCCUUUGACCUGAGCAGUUAACAUUCAUUUCUUUCCUAAGCAGGGCUUCAAGAGUCACGGCUUUGAGAAAAUACUCCUCUCUCUGGGACUCAUCUCAGCCGAAGUCAUCAGGAAUGGCCUCGGGACGGGACGGCAGCAGGAAUUCAGUGGGGCUCUUGGUUCUGGAAACUGCCUUCCGUGGAUGCCGUGCUUCUCAUCACUGCCCUCGCUGGGGGAGCUCACCUUGCGGGGGCCGGCGGCUCCUGCGCCUGCGCAGUCCUAAACACAGGCGUCCUGUUUGGCCCCGCCCUCCACGUUUGCUCGCACUAGGUUUGGUCCACGAGUCGGUGUUUCAGUUAUUAUGUCUACGCAAUGCUCCUCUCUCCCUCUCCAUUCAAAUGCUCAGCCCCGCGUUUCUAUGUCGCACUGGAUUUUCCCAUCUAGACACCCUGCGAGCGAACCCUGAAUGUCCCUCCAUCCUUCCGUUUAUCACACCCUCCGCUGUGCAAUGCCAACCCCAGGGGUGUUCCCUUUUCACUUUCCCUCACAUCUGUCCCUUUUUCUCCUUGUCUCUACGUGCCGUCUCCCUAGCACAGCCUUAGCCCUUUGCAGGGGCCUCACAGCUGGUCCCCCACUUCCAUUCUUGCCCUCCCAUCUCUCCUGACUCCUGCAGCUCUCCUGGCGUCUCCCCCAAAGAGCAGCUCUCUUCCCUGCUUGACUUCUGGACAUGUCAGGAACUAAGGGAAUUAAGAGGAAGGCCAUGUCGCAGGAUAUGGCUUUGCGUGGGUGGGCUAAAGUGGCUUUCUGGCUUGACCUCAGUUAGGCCAUCCUGUGCUUGCUGCACUCGCCUGGGGCAGGUGUAUACGGAUGUGGCGCUGGGGCAGGUAGGGUGGCCAGGGGGGCAGGUGUACCUUGAUGCAUGGAGUCAACCUCAGGUGUGACCUCCAGCCCACAGCAGCAGCGGAGAACUCACGUUCUUCUCAGAGAAAGGAAAGAGGGGCAGAGCUGAAUCAAGCCUGCCCAGUUGUGCUUCCUAAACACCAGCCAGAGAAGCACCUGUGCCCAGGCAGUGAGUGAAACUCCUAGAAGGAAGCAUCAGGGGAGGGGGGCAGCAUUCUCUGUCUUAGGAGAACAGACUCGUAAAGUGUGAGAGGCAGUUGCCUUGCUGUCUUGCUCAGAUGUCUUCAAGUCCUCACGUUUGCAUCCCCAACUUUAUUCUGCAGAAGAAAGCAGCCAAUGGUAGGUUCCCAUUACUUAGCUAUUUUACACGGUAGUGGGUCUGUGUUGUUCCCAUCCUCCUAAUUUACCUCUCUCCUCCCAUCGUUUCCCCUGUGGUA
This is a long non-coding RNA of Phacochoerus africanus (Common warthog), 1472 nucleotides long. RefSeq lists it as uncharacterized. The record is from RefSeq and is a predicted model, not a curated record. Lineage: Eukaryota; Metazoa; Chordata; Mammalia; Artiodactyla; Suidae. The transcript is spliced from 3 exons.